AGAAAAUCAGAGGUUUAACUAACAUGAUCAAGAUCUCCUAACCAGUUAAGUGGUGAAGUUGGAAUUUUUACCCAAGUCUGUUUGCUAAAUGUAUGCUCUUCAUCAUUACAUCUACAUAGGACCAGCUACAUAACUUGUAGUGCCCAGUGCAAAAUGAAAAUGCACCCUAGGCUGUGAUCCUGGAACUGAACAUCUGAUGAGUCAAUACAGGGCACGGAGUAGUGCUCUUCUCCCUGAACCAUGAGACCUGCAUCUCAGGUUGCAGAAAACAUGUGGAGCAGAGGUACAGAGCCUUCACUUUGCUGCAGCAACAAAUAAAUAAUGGUGAUGCAUCUCACAAUUGAGAUCAUCUUAGACAUGAUGGAAUAUGGAAUCGUGUGCCUGUUACAAGCCAGGCUCUUGUCUGGGUUCUAGAGACGGUGGAAACCAAGACAGCACCAUCCUCUAGUGGUGUUCACAUCCCACCACAGUGGAGUCAGGACUUUGAAGUCCUCCAUUGGAUCUUCUCGGAAGAUGAGGGAAAUGAGAGAGUGUGGAGAGAGAUUUUGUAAGUCCGGUCUGGAAGUGGUCAUUGUUCAGAAUCCAGCCACGUGGGUACAUGGAACUGUAAGAAUAUGUUCUGUGGACACUACAGAUGCAGAUUAAAUCACCUGCAAAGUGAAUCUGUCAGCCCUAACAAUAAGAAUAGCUCUUUUAUGAUGAGCAGGUGAGACCAGGUAAUUACCGAAGAAAGAGAGUGAUGUGUUCAUUGAAGUCUACUCAUGGAGGAAAGAAGGCUAUUUCAACAUGGGAAACUGAAAUCGGGCAUAUCCCUGCGGAAGAAGCUGUCUCUUAGCGAAGAAUAAAACUGUGGACUGACCCCCACCCAUUUGCGAAGAAAGUACUGGGUCUUCAGCUUUCAUUGUUCAGCCGGUGGUCUUUGUGGACAACACCAGGGGCCCCUCCUGCUGAAGACUGUCUGGACUUCCUGAUUUUCACUCCUGUAUAAACCCCCUCCCCCAUUACUACCUUUGUCUCCUUGGGGAAAAAAAAUGUUUUUCACUUAAGCAAAAUAAUAACUACCCAGUAUUUGUUUCUGGAGUGAAAUUGUAAACUUCAUUGUACAUUCUUCCUGGCUUUGAUGCUUAUCGUGAAGAGUUCAGUGAAAAUAAAUUGUUUUUAUGAAAGCAGAGAAACCAUUUGAUAAACACGCUGUCUCUGAAAAUCGUUCCUGCAAAAGAGGUCAUUCUUUCACUUUAAAAGAAAUAGAAUAUAUUUCAGAAAACAGGCAGGACAACAUACAAAUUUUUUUUUAAGGCAGAGUGUAAAUACAGUGAAAAUUGCACACCUCCUGAUUGUGUGGAGUGUUUUGGUUUCUAAAAUAUCUUUAUUGAAGAGCUACUUAGGUCACAAGCAAAUACUUGCUGCAUUCCAUAUUUGUGGUAAUG
This 1427-nucleotide long non-coding RNA is filed under the name Homo sapiens (human). Its description in RNAcentral is "HSALNT0386062". The record is from RNAcentral. Lineage: Eukaryota; Metazoa; Chordata; Mammalia; Primates; Hominidae.